AAUUCGAUGCAACGCGAAAACCUUACCCACCUUUGACAUGUACGGAAUCCUUUAGAGAUAGAGGAGUGCUCGAAAGAGAGCCGUAACACAGGUGCUGCAUGGCUGUCGUCAGCUCGUGUCGUGAGAUGUUGGGUUAAGUCCCGCAACGAGCGCAACCCUUGUCAUUAGUUGCUACAUUCAGUUGGGCACUCUAAUGAGACUGCCGGUGACAAACCGGAGGAAGGUGGGGAUGACGUCAAGUCCUCAUGGCCCUUAUAGGUGGGGCUACACACGUCAUACAAUGGAUGGUACAAAGGGUCGCCAACCCGCGAGGGGGAGCCAAUCACAUAAAGCCAUUCGUAGUCCGGAUCGCAGUCUGCAACUCGACUGCGUGAAGUCGGAAUCGCUAGUAAUCGCGGAUCAGAAUGUCGCGGUGAAUACGUUCCCGGGUCCU
Molecule: ribosomal RNA, 433 nt
Filed under: uncultured Acidovorax sp.
Lineage: Bacteria; Pseudomonadati; Pseudomonadota; Betaproteobacteria; Burkholderiales; Comamonadaceae
Description: bacterial SSU rRNA
Rfam family: Bacterial small subunit ribosomal RNA
Source: RNAcentral